UGGAUCUACAGUCACAGCACCACAGGCUUAACUCGCGACAUAUGUGCCACCCUUUUAUCUUUGUCUGUGUAAGAGCCCCCUUUCCCUGUCACAUCGGCAAAGACUGAAGAUAGACACGUGCUACUUACUGCUUGGAAGUUGAGAAAUUCUGCAGCUGACGUGACCAGAAAGGAGCAUUUGUUCAUCGCUAGACCUGCCAGCGUGGAAUUUGGCUCUUUAAUCAAAGUCUAGGGUUUGGGCUCCGGUUUCUAAAUGAGGCCGAGGGGAGGGGGGACCGACCCGAAUGCCAUCGCAUUGCAGUUCCCUGCCACCGUAAUGGGUCGACGCGGCAUCAGAACAGAGUGUCACUGGCCAGCCGGCCCGGCGGUUCAUCCCCUCCGAGAUGAUCUGAGGGCGGGGCCGAUAAUAGAUGAAGCGACAUAGAGUCGGGGGGGAGGGCAUUAGUCUGCACAAUAGGAGUCCACGCUGUUAAUCUUUCCCACUGACUUUUAUAAGUGCCUCUAUUUAAUUACUUGUGAGAGGUGAUUCUGACACUUUCAGGGGUUUAAUUAUUUCAGUUAAUACAUGUGGAAAAAGACUGGUAGAAAGAUCCCAUGAAAAAAUAUAAUUACACAAGCUUGUAGACAUUCUCUCCUAUCUAUUUUGUGUUAUGUAUCUUUUUUUUUCGUUAGUAAGGUGUUAUGGAAACAAACAAAAAAAGUAAAUAAUGUGGAGUUUGGUCACUUUUCGUUAUGUCUAUCCAAAAUGAUAAAAUGGAAUAAUUACUUUUACAGCAACUAUGACAUUUGACUAGAAUAGCUAUAAGAACCCAUCAACUGUAAUCAGAAACUACAACAUCUACUUCCAGGAUACAGUCAUUCCAGUAAUUAAAUAACGUGUGAACUUAAAAAUAACAAUAUGGGCCCUUUCAUAAUACACUGAAACAAUUAACAAAUAAAAAUGCAUUUAAAUGUCUUUAAUUAA
This is a long non-coding RNA of Paramormyrops kingsleyae, 963 nucleotides long. RefSeq lists it as uncharacterized. Lineage: Eukaryota; Metazoa; Chordata; Actinopteri; Osteoglossiformes; Mormyridae. The record is from RefSeq and is a predicted model, not a curated record.